CUUGGUCAUUUAGAGGAAGUAAAAGUCGUAACAAGGUCUCCGUAGGUGAACCUGCGGAGGGAUCAUUACAGAGAACAUUGCCCUCACGGGUGACUCUCCAACCCUAUGUUAUUUAAACCUUUGUUGCUUUGGCGAGCCGCUUCGGCCACCGGCUUUUGCUGGUGCGCGCUCGCCAGAGGACCACAAACUCUGUUUAUUAGUGUCGUCUGAGUACUAUAUAAUAGUUAAAACUUUCAACAACGGAUCUCUUGGUUCUGGCAUCGAUGAAGAACGCAGCGAAAUGCGAUAAGUAAUGUGAAUUGCAGAAUUCAGUGAAUCAUCGAAUCUUUGAACGCACCUUGCACCCUUUGGCAUUCCGAAGGGUAUGCUCGUUUGAGUGUCAUUGUACUCUCACACUCCCAAUACUUUUGGAUUGGGAGCGGUGGACUUGGGUGUUUGCUGCUUUACUGUGGCUCACCUCAAAUGGAGUAGUGCAACUCUCGGUUGGACAUAGUACGGCGUGAUAAGUGUCUUCGCCGGCGCCUCAUUAGAGGGUGGCCGAUCGGGAGCUCUGUGCUUCAAACCGUCUUCGGACAACAUCUGACAACUUGACCUCAAAUCGAGUAGGACUACCCGCUGAACUUAAGCAUAUCAAUAAGCGGAGGA
Molecule: ribosomal RNA, 645 nt
Filed under: uncultured Sebacina
Lineage: Eukaryota; Fungi; Basidiomycota; Agaricomycetes; Sebacinales; Sebacinaceae
Description: eukaryotic LSU rRNA
Rfam family: 5.8S ribosomal RNA (bases 229-382)
Source: RNAcentral